This 430-nucleotide ribosomal RNA is filed under the name Bacteroidota bacterium. Its description in RNAcentral is "Bacteroidetes bacterium partial 16S ribosomal RNA". It matches the Rfam family "Bacterial small subunit ribosomal RNA", at positions 355 to 776 of the family's 1533-position model. The record is from RNAcentral. Lineage: Bacteria; Pseudomonadati; Bacteroidota.
UAGGGAAUCUUCGGCAAUGGGGGGAACCCUGACCGAGCAACGCCGCGUGAGUGAAGAAGGUUUUCGGAUCGUAAAGCUCUGUUGUUAAGGAAGAACGAGUGUGAGAAUGGAAAGUUCAUGCUGUGACGGUACUUAACCAGAAAGGGACGGCUAACUACGUGCCAGCAGCCGCGGUAAUACGUAGGUCCCGAGCGUUGUCCGGAUUUAUUGGGCGUAAAGCGAGCGCAGGCGGUCAAUUAAGUCUGAUGUGAAAGCCCCCGGCUCAACCGGGGAGGGUCAUUGGAAACUGGUUGACUUGAGUGCAGAAGAGGAGAGUGGAAUUCCAUGUGUGGCGGUGAAAUGCGUAGAUAUAUGGAGGAACACCAGUGGCGAAGGCGACUCUCUGGUCUGUAACUGACGCUGAGGCUCGAAAGCGUGGGUAGCAAACAGA